UUAAUUUUUUGUUCUGUUAAAUUUGUAUAACAUAUUUUCAAAGUUUUAUUUUGGCUUAAAAAUUUGGUAUUUGGUAAUUUUACAUGUAAGCUUAAGUUUAAAUAUUAGUUUGGGCAGUAAAUAGAUUUAAUGAUUAAGGAAGUUUAGAAUUAGAUAUUCAUUAGAGUAUAGACAAAUCUUGUGCCAGCAGUUGCGGUUACACAUGAUAUACCCCUGAAUUUUAUUCGGGUGAUAAUUAUCCUGGGGCUAGAAAUUAGAAUUGAUUAUAUAAGGUGAAAUUUUGUGAUUGGUUUAAUUUAUUUGAUGAGGAAAUAUUAUUAGAUUUUUUAGUAUAGACUAGGAUUAGAUACCCUAUUAUUGGAAGUAUAAAAUUUAACUCCUGAGAAGUAUUAGAUGUUCUUGAAAUUUAAAAAAUUUGGCGGUGUUUUAGUCUAUUCAGAGGAACCUGUCCUGUAAUUGAUAAUCCACGAUUAAUAAAACUUGUUUUUUUAGUUUGUAUAUCGUCGUUAAUUGAAUAUCUUUAAAGGGAAAAAUAUUCAGGAUUUAAGACUUGAAUAUAAAUCAGAUCAAGGUGCAGCUUACAGGCAAGGAGAGAUGGGUUACAAUGAAUUUAUUUAUAUGGUUUAAGAAGUGAGAUUUUUUUAAUAAAUAGGAUUUGAUAGUAAAGUGAAUAAUUUAAUUUAUUUGAUUACAGCUCUAAAAUAUGCACAUAUCGCCCGUCGCUCCCACCAUAAGGUUGGAUAAGUCGUAACAAAGUAGGUGUACCGGAAGGUGUACCUGGAAAGU
Molecule: non-coding RNA, 786 nt
Filed under: Dorcus rectus
Lineage: Eukaryota; Metazoa; Arthropoda; Insecta; Coleoptera; Lucanidae
Source: RNAcentral